UCUUUUCUACCCCACAUUUCAACGCCUCUUUGUUGUGAGGGGGAAAGUUGGUGGGUCCUGCUACUUUGGAGGGUUUUCAGUGUUUCACUCUGCAGUCUGCCGGUGGUCGAACAACCUUUGAUUUGGUGGAUUUGGUAAUUACCCACAUGUGAGACGUGCCUGCCUGUCCUGCCAGAAGUAGUGGGAAUUCUCCCAUUCCUGGGUCAAAGACUUGGUUGGGUGCAGGAUCUGCUUGACUAGGAGCAGUAUGGAUCACUAGGUGUUUCCAAGCAGCAGGCAAAGUUUACUUAUUGCAUGACUAAACCCUGAACCCUUAGCUCAGAGGUCUUCAUCAGUAUGUUACAGAGCUCCAGUCUUCAGCAGGUCUUAAUUUUGAGUUACAAGGGCAAAUAUCUGGGCAAGGCAAACUCAAGUUGCUCUCACCCCACUCAUAUGCUGAUUUCAAUAUGUUUUAGACAAGUGACAGUGCACACUUCACAAGGAGGCACCAAAGGAUGUGUGUACUUAUUGCACCUGGCACUAAGAAUUCAAGUGCUGCCAAGUCUAUGCACUUUUUUUUUUUUUUUUUCAGAUCAAUGAUUUAGGAUAGAAGUUGUGCAGGACUAUAGUUUAAUGGGCUGUGCAAUGCCCCUGACUACUACAAUAGUCAAGCUCAGAUGUGAUGGAGAAGUUUGUUUUCUCAACAAGAAAAUUUCAGACUAAAAUGCAUUGAUUUGCAGGCAACUUCUGAAUGAGGUUUACGUCUUUUAUUAUUUUAGCUGUAAUCUCAAUAAGACAAUGUGACAACCAUUACAGUUUUGUUUUCCCCUUAUCAAAUAAGAAAUGAAACUUGGGCUUGAGCAGGGAGGUGCUAGCGGC
Molecule: long non-coding RNA, 858 nt
Organism: Malania oleifera
Lineage: Eukaryota; Viridiplantae; Streptophyta; Magnoliopsida; Santalales; Ximeniaceae
Exons: 3
Source: RefSeq, a predicted model, not a curated record